GAACGCUGGCGGCAUGCCUUACACAUGCAAGUCGAACGGCAGCACGGGAGCAAUCCUGGUGGCGAGUGGCGAACGGGUGAGUAAUAUAUCGGAACGUGCCCAGUCGUGGGGGAUAACGCAGCGAAAGCUGUGCUAAUACCGCAUACGGUCUCUGGAUGAAAGCGGGGGACCUUUGGGCCUCGCGCGAUUGGAGCGGCCGAUAUCAGAUUAGCUAGUUGGCGGGGUAAAAGCCCACCAAGGCGACGAUCUGUAGCUGGUCUGAGAGGACGACCAGCCACACUGGAACUGAGACACGGUCCAGACUCCUACGGGAGGCAGCAGUGGGGAAUUUUGGACAAUGGGCGAAAGCCUGAUCCAGCAAUCCCGCGUGCAGGAUGAAGGC
This 382-nucleotide ribosomal RNA is filed under the name uncultured bacterium. RNAcentral describes it as "bacterial SSU rRNA". It matches the Rfam family "Bacterial small subunit ribosomal RNA", at positions 31 to 415 of the family's 1533-position model. The record is from RNAcentral.